Xiphias gladius (swordfish) is the source of this 1993-nucleotide long non-coding RNA. RefSeq lists it as uncharacterized. The transcript has 8 exons. The record is from RefSeq and is a predicted model, not a curated record. NCBI's taxonomy places the organism in Eukaryota, Metazoa, Chordata, Actinopteri, Istiophoriformes, Xiphiidae.
CAAGCAGUUUGAUAUUUCUCAUGCUCAGUGCAAGAGAGUUUAUUACCAGCUAUAUUAUACAUAAUGUUCAUUAUAUUGACUUCACUUGCAUGUAAAUGAACAUUUGUGUAGCUUUUUUCAUGUAGUAGUGAUAGGCUGUUUAUUUAUUGAUAAGGCUUUACUACCAUCGUGGGUCAAACUGCUGUCGUGAACAGAACCAAAACUUUUCAAUCAGCUGUGUGUGUCCUGAACAGCCUGCGGAAUAAUGCUGCAUGUUGAAGUGGCUGGAUGGACAUCAGGAGAAUCCAGGCCUGCAGCUCCAGGCCAUGCAAGGAUUCCUCUAUCGCACCGGUAUUACCGUGGGUGAACUGGACAAACUCAAUAUUAUCCAUGUCCCUGGGACUAAAGGAAAGUUUCUUUUUUUCCCAGGAUCAACGUGUGCUUUUACUGAAAGAAUACUCAGGAAUUAUGGCUUUCGGACGGGAUUUUACAGCUCUCCCCACUUGGUUCAUGUCAGAGAGAGAAUAUGCAUCAAUGGAUGGCCAAUCAGCAAGCAGCUUUUUGCCAAGUACUUUUGAGAGACUUAUGAGCAGUUAGAGGACACAAAGGUAGGCUCUGUUGAUCUAUAUAUGAUUUCCGUCCAUGUGACUUUAAGGAAAGGGGGAUGCAGGAAGGAUUUGUUUGUAGUAUUCUUCUCUGGUUCUGAUGCCAAGUAAAAAGACACUAAGAAAUAAGUGAAUAUGAGCAUCAGUCCAGACUUAGGUCUGUAACAAAUAUGAGCAAAUGCAUCGAUUGUUAUUACCCAUACAUUGGAGUAUUCUCAUGUUUUCAUUCCUGACGAUUCACUCUGCUUUUUCUCUUGGAAAUGGAUGAACACUCUAGGUGUCUUGGGGCCAUUAAGGGGUAAUCCAGUUAUCUAGUAUUGCACUCCAUAAAGUUUAGGGAGUCACAGGAGAUAAAAACAAACAAACAAAAAAACAAACAAAAAAAAAUCCAAAAUUGAUAAAUCAGGCCUACAUAUCAAUAGACUUUUAGGGGGUCUCACAUCAGGGACCCGGGCCCGGAUCCAAGUCCACUUGACCACGAAGUCUAAUUCGUUUGAUUAGUCUGAACACUGUGUGCCAUACCCGGGCACAGUUCAUUGAUCUGUUGCUGGGUAUGGUAUACAGAAAACAGAUCACCGAACCAUGUCAGGGUCCAUUUGAAAAGGUGGGCUCAAGUAUGGUUCAUGUGUACUCGGGUAUGGUUUGCAUCAGCUGUGAAAACUGCUAUACCAAAACACGAAAGUGGGAUUCUAUUUAGAAUGUUAUGUCUUAACUGGUCUGUUUCUCCCCUUAUUGACGAAUGCAAGUAGCAGUCAGCGAGUAGAGUCGCAAAGGCAUUUCUCAACGCCGCCUGUUUCCUCUGAAAUCUGUGUAUGCCUGCAGUAUGCGCUGAGCUAUUCCUUUGAACUGCAAGGCCAUAGUUGAUAAAGUAGGAACACAGGUGAGAGGGUUGUUCUUGACAUUGUCUCCAAAAUAUCAAUAAUAUUAAGCAUAGUGUGAAGGUCAAUACCAUUGUAUGGGCAUGUAAUUGUGAUUGGUGCGCUUUUCUACACAGCAUAAACAAAUGUCGUGUGGUUGAUGAUGCAAGUGUACUUUUCUUCUUCUUUGUUUUAUGGGCAGAUUGCAAACAAACUAGGUGCAUACUGCCAACUACUGUAUCAGAGUGUGUAGAUACGCAAGUGUACUUGGGUGUGGAACAACAUUGCUAAUGCGAAAGCUGGGGCGGGAGGCAAUCGCACUCUGGCAAGGACGUCCAUAGAGGCACCAUGCCCUUUUAUUUUCAGUUCCUGACUCUUCUGGCCUUCCAUGUCUUUCUGCAGGAGAGGGUAGAUUUAGCAGUGAUUGAAGUUUGGAUUGGAGGGCAGUACGACUUCACGAACAUAAUCAGAUGGCCUCAGUUUAGCUCAAACAGGCUGCAGACUGAGCUCCCAAGCUGUCCCUUUCCAGCUCAGCACAGCCAUGCUGAAAGG